This is a long non-coding RNA of Oncorhynchus keta (chum salmon), 273 nucleotides long. RefSeq lists it as uncharacterized. The record is from RefSeq and is a predicted model, not a curated record. The transcript has 3 exons. NCBI's taxonomy places the organism in Eukaryota, Metazoa, Chordata, Actinopteri, Salmoniformes, Salmonidae.
AUUGUAAAUAUAGGAAAUGUGAUGGACCAACCACUAGGUGGUAUAGAAAUGUGAUGGACCAACCACUAGGUGAUAUAGAAAUGUGAUGGACCAACCACUAGGUGAUAAAGAAAUGUGAUGGACCAACCACUAGGUGAUAAAGAAAUGUGAUGGACCAACCACUAGGUGAUAUAGAAAUGUGAUGGACCAACCACUAGGUGAUAAAGAAAUGUGAUGGACCAACCACUAGGUGAUAAAGAAAUGUGAUGGACCAACCACUAGGUGAUAGAGAAA